This 103-nucleotide microRNA precursor is filed under the name Marmota monax (woodchuck). The record is from RNAcentral. Lineage: Eukaryota; Metazoa; Chordata; Mammalia; Rodentia; Sciuridae.
AAUGAGAUAGCUGGGUCAAAUGGUGGUUCCAUUCCAAGCUUUUUAAGGAAUCUACAUAUUGCUUCCCAGAUUGGCUGCACCAAUUUGCAGUCCUACUAGCAAU